UACGUAGGGGGCAAGCGUUGUCCGGAAUUAUUGGGCGUAAAGAGCGCGUAGGCGGUCCGAUAAGUCGGCUGUGAAAGUCAGGGGCUCAACCCUUGGAAGCCGGCCGAUACUGUCGGACUAGAGUCCGGAAGAGGCGAGUGGAAUUCCCGGUGUAGCGGUGAAAUGCAUAGAUAUCGUCAAGAACACCGAUAGCGAAGGCAGCUUACUAGACUGUAACUGACGCUGAGGCACGAAAGUGUGGGGAUCAAACAGG
Molecule: ribosomal RNA, 253 nt
Filed under: uncultured bacterium
Lineage: Bacteria
Description: partial 16S ribosomal RNA
Rfam family: Bacterial small subunit ribosomal RNA
Source: RNAcentral